GGACCCUGGACAGCCCCCCGGCAGACCAACUGAGGCGACAACCGGCAGCACCAUGGACAGGGCUGCAGCAGAGGGAAGAAGAGGGUGUGAAGACCUGGAGCGGAGCACUGAUACCCCGACCGGGAAGACUUUUUAGUUGGUUUUGGCUCCCCCUACCCCUACCCCCACUCAUUACAAGUAUUAAAGACCUUUUUUGUUAAACACUA
Anguilla anguilla (European eel) is the source of this 206-nucleotide long non-coding RNA. RefSeq lists it as uncharacterized. Lineage: Eukaryota; Metazoa; Chordata; Actinopteri; Anguilliformes; Anguillidae. The record is from RefSeq and is a predicted model, not a curated record. The transcript has 2 exons.